AGUGAACGCUGGCGGCAGGCCUAACACAUGCAAGUCGAGCGGCAGCGCGGGGGCAACCCUGGCGGCGAGCGGCGGACGGGUGAGGAAUUCGUCGGAAUCUGCCUUUUUGUGGGGGAUAACGUAGGGAAACUUACGCUAAUACCGCAUACGUCCUACGGGAGAAAGUGGGGGACCGCAAGGCCUCACGCAGAAAGAUGAGCCGACGACCGAUUAGCUAGUUUGUGGGGUAAAGGCCCACCAAGGCGACGAUCGGUAGCUGGUCUGAGAGGAUGAUCAGCCACACUGGGACUGAGACACGGCCCAGACUCCUACGGGAGGCAGCAGUGGGGAAUAUUGGACAAUGGGCGCAAGCCUGAUCCAGCCAUGCCGCGUGUGUGAAGAAGGCCUUCGGGUUGUAAAGCACUUUUGUCCGGAAAGAAAUCCCUGGAGCUAAUACCUUCGGGGGAUGACGGUACCGGAAGAAUAAGCACCGGCUAACUUCGUG
Molecule: ribosomal RNA, 484 nt
Filed under: uncultured bacterium
Lineage: Bacteria
Description: partial 16S ribosomal RNA
Rfam family: Bacterial small subunit ribosomal RNA
Source: RNAcentral